CUUAUAUAGUGUCUAAACCCCUUAAAAAGCGGUGGCUGUAACUAUUUCCUAUAUUGCAGUGUCGUAACAAUUGCUGCCAUUUCAAUGAUUGAGAUGCUUUUCAUAGAGAUGACAUGUACUAUAUCGCGGUGUCAUGACAACUGUUGCAUCGGUGAUAACGCAUAGAUCUGUGGACGUAUCAUCAUAGACCGUCUAACAUUAAAUCUCAUUGUUUAAUAAGCCAACUGCAAUUCCAUUUUAGCAGGCUUCUGUUAUGCUCCAAUGAUGCUUUUUUUUCCUCCAAAUGGUUGAGUGUUGAUGAAGCGGACAAAUGAUUUCUGACCCUUUCAUAUGACAGAGUUCUGAACUCUGUUAUGCCAGUAAACACCAAGGACUUCUAUUUGAAAGAUCAUGCGGGUCACGUGUGGAUUUGCACCCAAGCUUCUGUCCGUUCCAGGAACCGCACUACAAAAUAGAGGGUGAAUGGAAGCAUUCUGUUUAAGCCGUAAGGUGACUGCGGGGACAUUCAUCAAAAUUGGUCCACCGACUGUUGGAGCUAAUACUUCGUUUUAUGUCACUUUUAGAGUUAGUAGUUUGUUUGACUGAAUCAAUAGAUGUUGAACCGUUAUUUACAUUUUCAAUCUAACGAGAAAAGACGAGUGAUAUGCCCUGAUCCACAGAUGUCGCCAUGGCUGUGAUUAGUUUUGUUAUAUUCUACUGAAUUUAUUUGUAUUGCAUCAGAAUUUGUCAAAAUCGUAUGUGUAUUUUCAA
Molecule: long non-coding RNA, 750 nt
Organism: Medicago truncatula (barrel medic)
Lineage: Eukaryota; Viridiplantae; Streptophyta; Magnoliopsida; Fabales; Fabaceae
Exons: 2
Source: RefSeq, a predicted model, not a curated record